RNAcentral lists this long non-coding RNA (1067 nucleotides) under Cyanistes caeruleus (blue tit). RNAcentral describes it as "lncRNA (ENSCCEG00000011302.1)". The record is from RNAcentral. Lineage: Eukaryota; Metazoa; Chordata; Aves; Passeriformes; Paridae.
GUCAUACUGUCACACUAUGAACAAAAUGCCUGUAAUGUGUGUAUAUUUAAUAUUCAAUACAUCAAAUAUGAGGCAGCAUGAAGUUCUUAUUAUGAUAAAAUAGCUUUGCUGUGCAUCUGAGAAAAUCCCUCCAAAGAUUUCCGUACAGUCCUCUGAACCUCUCUGAGGCUCUUAAAUUAAUGAAGAGGUUUCCCAAUGGAUGGUGGCAGAAUAAAGCACAGAUUUGUUCAUCUCUCUGGUAUAUAUUCCCACAGAAAGCUGUAACACAAACUCUGGGGAUGAGAUGCCAGAGGGACUCUCAAUGUCUCUAUUUCUAGUUUCUUAUGCUCUUUCAUCAAAGAGUUACAACUGUCACAUACAAAAUAACAGGAAAAAUAAGUUUUGGGUUGCUAAGGCUUAUUUGGUUUUUAGGGUCUACCUCCAUGCAACUAAAGACACAUAUUAAUAUAUAUUUUAAAAACACUCUUAAUUUUAAUAUUAAGAAAAUAAAAAUAAUACAGUUAAACACAGAAAAAAUACUACAUAAGAAGCUUUUUUCAUACAUCUAGUAGGAGAAAGCGAAUUUUUUUGGAGGUCGUCUGAUAAGCAAAAUUAUUUGAAAGCUUUUAAGAUCUAAGAUACAAAAGGACUGAUAAAAAGCCCCUAAACAAUAUUCUGGGAUCUCAAGUCAAAUACUUUCAGCAAAUAACAGCAAGGUCUACAGUAAUAACAAUCAAUUCAACUAAUGAUAUACAUUAGUUAUCAAAGGAAAAAUGUUGGGAGAUAUCACUUUAAAUUCUAAGAAGGUUUUUAAAAUGUUUUUGUCUCUUGGGUUAAUGUGUUGCAAUAUACUGGCAAAGGUAAUUAAACAAAUUCUCUUGCAUUUCUAUUGCCAGGCUUUGGCUUCAGCUGAGGAAACUGUCCAGAAAGGACCCAGGGCUAGUGGGAUUCAAUGGACAUUUCGAGCAGAGAGUUCCUUCUGCCAUGUUUUUUCUCUCCUUCACAAUGGGCUCAACCAGGAGAAGUGGGGAGGAUCAUCAUGGGACCAAGACUGCAAAGAUCAUCAAGAAUCUUUGCACUGUUCCUGA